This is a long non-coding RNA of Arachis duranensis, 590 nucleotides long. RefSeq lists it as uncharacterized. The transcript has 3 exons. The record is from RefSeq and is a predicted model, not a curated record. NCBI's taxonomy places the organism in Eukaryota, Viridiplantae, Streptophyta, Magnoliopsida, Fabales, Fabaceae.
UUUUUUGGUUUCCAGUGUCAGUUUUGACGAAAGACAAGUUUCUGAGGGCAUCGAAGAACCAGUCAAGAUCUGUGACCAAGGCUCCUACCAUGAAGGGUUAGUAUAAUUCUGGUCUGUUUUCUUUGUUUCUUCCUAUAUUAAUAACCUACAUAUCAAUAUAUACCUGCAAAUCUAUAAGAUAUAUUGUUUCAAGGGAUCCACAUAACAGAAGAUAGAAGAGGAAUUGGGGGUUAAGAUAAUAAUACCUACUUCAAAAGAUGAUGAUUUUGUUAGAAGCCAUGGAAUAGACAUAAAGGGGCCAACAAAAUGAGAUUGAGAACGUGCAAUGGAGUGGGGUGGUAGGCAUAAUAUAGCUGGAGUGAAACGAAAGAGAGCUUCUGGUUGAUGAUGUCAACUUAAUUGAAUCUGGGCGUGUGACUCUACCGGCUUAUAAUUCUACUUCAGAAGGCUCAACAGGCAAUGCUAGUGAUGAAGGAGCUGGCAAGAAGGGUGGCCAACCUUGGAAUUCGAACAGCGAGUCUAAUAAUGGAUCUAAGGCUUCAAGAUCAGAUCAGGAACGCCGUAAGGGUAUUGCUUGGACAAAAGAUGAA